RNAcentral lists this ribosomal RNA (334 nucleotides) under uncultured eukaryote. RNAcentral's name for it is "partial 18S ribosomal RNA". It matches the Rfam family "Eukaryotic small subunit ribosomal RNA", at positions 1470 to 1796 of the family's 1831-position model. The record is from RNAcentral.
CCCUUAGAUGUCCGGGGCCACACGCGCGCUACACUGAAGGAAUCAGCGUGGCUUUCUCCCUGACCCGAAAGGGUUGGGAAACCCGUUGAAUCUCCUUCGUGAUAGGGAUUGGGGCUUGAAAUUGUUCCCCAUGAACGAGGAAUUCCCAGUAAGCGCGAGUCAUAAGCUCGCGUUGAUUACGUCCCUGCCCUUUGUACACACCGCCCGUCGCUACUACCGAUUGAACGGUUUAGUGAGGACCUCGGAUUGGUCUCGGCCCGCUCUUUACCGGGCGGCGCCGUUGGUCGAGAAGACGCUCGAACUUGAUCGUUUAGAGGAAGUAAAAGUCGUAACA